Molecule: long non-coding RNA, 2756 nt
Organism: Setaria italica (foxtail millet)
Lineage: Eukaryota; Viridiplantae; Streptophyta; Magnoliopsida; Poales; Poaceae
Exons: 4
Source: RefSeq, a predicted model, not a curated record
CGUUCAAUUGCCUAUCCCCUCCCUGCUGCCACCCGCCCCCUCUCCCCACGUCACCACCGGCAGCGGCGGCGUGGAGUUCCGCCGCAAGCUCCACUUUCACUCGUCCGAGCUCCACCUGGACCCGUUCCCGCUCCUCGCCGCCAACCCCGUGCUCCGCUCGGCACCGCUACCGCUCCUCCGUGACUCCCUCCGCCUCCUCGCAUCCAACGGCUUUUCCGCCCGCGACACCACGCGCGUCUUCUCCGUGUUCCCAUCCUUCCUCACCUCCCCGCCCACCGAUCCCCUCUGCUUCCUCUCCGCCGAUACGCCGCUCCCGCCGCCGCUCCUCCGCGCCGUGAUGGUCCGGUCCCCGCGCCUCCUCGUCCGGUGCUUGCUCGCCGCCUGCCCGAGCUGCUCGCCUCGCUAUCGGCCUCCCGUUUCCACGCGCUUAGCCGUCGGCAGCGACGGACUCCACUCGCCAUCCGACCCCUGCGACCAUGAGAUCCAGACCCAAUCGGGGAGGCGAUCAAAGCCCAGCUACAACUCCGGUGAGAUCUCCCACCGGAGCAGUGGAUGAAGGCAGCGACAAGCCCAUCCGUACUCCCGACAGGUGGUGGUGCGGUGGUUGCCCCCUCCUCCCGUUUCCACCUAGACUCGGUGUCAUCCCCACCUCGCCAUGCGGAUUCAAGGUGCCCCCGCCCCCGCGAUGGCUCGGCGCGGAUCCAUGGCGGCCUCAUCCCCUCUCCAUGCAUGACAGCGCCCCUAGCGAGCUGCAAGCCGCACCGUGGCAGACGGCGGGUAGACUACGGGCAUGCUGCCAUGGUUGAUGGGAUUUGGGACGCCGAUCUGGGCAGAUCCUGCACGGCACGACGGUGGCUCCCUCCCUCCACGCGACGUCUAGCCUAAGCUUCCCCAACCGUGGCUCGUCCGCCUCCAUGAACGGAGCUCUAGGUUAGCUCCUGUCCCUGAUGGAGUGUACAGAUUCAAGAUUUCUGUUUUUUUCUAGUCACUCCAUCGUGGAGGUCAGCAACGAGAUCAGAAACGAGAUGUAUGUGUACUCAACUGGGACUUCAUGUUCCUGAAUUUCAUUCUCUGAAAUGCUCAACUGAAUCCGUAGUGUCCCUCCUUGGAUUCAGGUGAGGUGGUCACCAUGCUCCUCUCAUGCGUAUUCAGGAUUGUUAUGUCUUUCUCUUAUUCUGAAUUAUAGAUGUGCUAAUCAGAAAACACACUGAUGGAGAUAGAAAAAAGCUUGAUGCAGAUGUGGGUUAAUAUCCAUUUGAGAAUUAUUUCACAACCACAAUGGAGACCAGUCAUUUUACAUAAGAGUCUGUACUAUGCAGAUACAGUGUACUUACAAAAGGUUAGGGUGGACUUCAACCAGGGUUCUGUCAGAUAUCAGAGUAUAUUGUACUAAGUAGAGUUCAGGUUUCUGCCUUGCUGGGCCCAUGUGAUUUAGAAUACUUUUUUGCAUGUUGCCUUAUUUACGUCUGUCCAAUAUGUUAGAAAAGAUGUAUGUGUAAUCUAAAAGAAAGGUGUACAAUGAUCAGUGCUUACUAAAUAUAUGGGAUAAACAAGCAUGCCUUUGUUCUCAUAACAUGCAGUGGCGCUGAUUCGCUACUCUCUGCUCUUUGCUGUAUGCAGUUAAUACAUGAUUCGAGACUACUUAUUUCUCUGCUCUCAGUUUCUCUCACUCGUGUGCAGUUUGUGGACACUUUUAUUGUUGAUUCAUUCAAUACUUGAUUUCUUUGUUCUCAAUUUUAUCUCCUUCACUUGUGCGUAGUCUGGGGACACAAGGAGGAUAUUCUGCUGCACCUUCCUAUCCAGAACUUCAGAAUUCAGGUCAAUGACAUUCGGAUGUACACCGGCUGGUGCGCUAUUGAUCAGCUCACACUGGAUAUAUUCCAUUACCAGAAUAAAUGCCUCACUGAUGCCCCCAGCAAUAAGGUAUGACGUGUCAUGUCCCCUGCUUCCAUCCUCAUGAAUUUAAUUAAAUCAGGCACAAUAAGGACUUAACAGUUCGAUGCCUAGCUCAAUGAUGCUAUCCAAUGACAGUCCAACUCAAUUCUCUUCAACAAUAUAAUAUCAUCAAUGCUCCUUUUUAGUAAUACGACUGUGCAAAACUGAGUCAAUCGUUUGCAAGUAUUGACAGGAUACAUAGCCUGGGACUAGAUUAAGUGAACUAUCUUUGAUGUCUCGCUGAUUUCUGGAAUGUACUGUGGGGUUGCUGCUGCUUCUGUAGCUGGAAACGAUGGCCACAUGCUCGAGCAGUUAAUGUACAAUGGUGUGUUUGUGACACGUCAUUAUGACAAUGGAUAGAGGUUGAUGAAUUAAACCAAGAAGUGGGAAAACUUGCUGGUGUUUUCCUCAAGCAGUUAGCAGUCCAAGAUUUAGUGACAGCAGGGAGCAACCAGUUUCGUUUUGUUCUUAGGGCUGAUAAUAGUCCAGCAACCCGUUCAGAUUGUCAACACUGCGGUACAGUGACAGCUGGAGAUGCACCAUAGUGUCACUACGGUGCUGAAGUACCUAGUAGUUAUUUACGUGCAUAGGCGGUGUGAGGAGUGCAUCCCUGCACUCGAAUUUCUGAUUUUGUUGUAAUUAUGAGUGCACACAUUCGAUUCUGAUUUUGUUGUAAUUAUGAGUGCACACAUUCGACUUUCUAGGUGUAGAGGUUAUGAUCUUUUCUAAUUUGCAGGAUAGUGUGGUAUGUACUCAUUUCAACUCAUUCUGACGAGGUCAACAUGAAGUUUGAGUUUGCAAUGUUUUUGCAAUGACAAAUG